AUGCAAAACCAGGUGCUGCAUGCCAUGGUUUCUUUCCCAGCAUGCAUUCAGACCUACUCCGUCUAGCAAGCUUAAUUAGCCACGUACUCCUCGGCCACACGAUCUCGAACGCACGUACGUCGUUCCAUUGCAUGCAUGCAUGCAUAUAUGCAUGGAUACUUGAGCCAUAUAUGAAUGUAUAAAUUAACUUCGUGGCUGUUACAUAGGGAUCGUCCACGUUGAUCCAUGUAUAUACAUCAUACAUGAUGUAACAAAAUUAAUAAUACGCAAUAUAGUAUGUCGUACGUGUUACUUGAGACUCUAGAGAUGAUCGGCCGAUAUAUAUCCAUGUGUUCGUACGUCAGCCAACUGAUAGAAAACAGACUUAAUUACACGCCUAUAACUCUACGUAACCUACCUAGCUACCUUACCUGUGUGUACAGUAUAAAUGUAUAAUGUAUAGGAGUAGUAUAGUUUCUUAAUUUGAAUUCCCUCACUACAAGGAAGUAAAGAGAAUUGUACUGGAUUUCGGGUGUUUGUCUGUUAAAUUAUCAGUGGAUUGCUUUCCUUUCUCCAUCAGUUUGAACUUUUGGUUAAACUGUGUCUGUACAUGAAAGUCUUAAUGCUCUAUCAGAGCUACCGCAACCUACUUUCGGUCGAUGUUUAGGUCUGUGAGAGCCACACGUUUCCUCAUCAGCUUGAUCUUUUAGAUGAACUGGAUAAAUGUAUGGUGCUCGGCGAAAAAUGUCGCAGACGGAAAGGAGACAGAAUAGCCACGAAGGCGUUUAAAAAGGUGUGUGCGUUGUAUAUCCACAUGUGUCACAUGCACGAUCAAAAUAUAUACGUAGGGAAGCAAAAAAAAGAAGGAAAAUGGCUAAACUUAAAAAAAACAAAAUCCACAUCUUUUAGUGAUAAGUUAUAAAAGAACCUAGGACGUGGUGGUGCACAUGAAGCCUGGAUAUGCGGAUGAAAGCGAAAGCGUGGUCAAAAGCUAGCUCAAAUUAAGCUACAUCGUUCAUGGACUGCAUUGCGUCAGCUGACGUCACCGUCCAAGGGUCAGACAAACGUAGGUCACUGCAGGCGUCACCAUGCACGGAGAGAGAGAGGGGGGCUGAGACAGCGGUCAAACCUGAAUUAAUGCAUGCAGGAACAACUUUUGCAGCUCGAUCAGAGAUAGUGUUGUAAUUAACUUGUUUAUCCCUCUAACAGUCAAGUUUUAAUCAACGGCAUUAUUGUAUCUGAUAUAGCAACUAAAAAUCCAAAGUUUGCAAAU
Molecule: long non-coding RNA, 1252 nt
Filed under: Brachypodium distachyon (stiff brome)
Lineage: Eukaryota; Viridiplantae; Streptophyta; Magnoliopsida; Poales; Poaceae
Description: long non-coding RNA (BDIS_LNC001167)
Source: RNAcentral